UUAGAGGAAGUAAAAGUCGUAACAAGGUUUCCGUAGGUGAACCUGCGGAAGGAUCAUUACUGAAUUUUGAGAAGAGUUGUAGCUGGCCUGCAAGGGCAUUUUGUGCACACUCUGAUCACUAUCCAUCUCAUACCUGUGCACAUUCUGUAAGUUGGCUUAUUGGGASAGGGAGUCUUCAUUGAUUCUUGUUUCAUGGCCCUCUUAUGUUUUUAUCACAUACCACUCAGUUAAAAGAAUGUUCAUUGCGUUUGACGCAUUUAUAUACAACUUUCAGCAACGGAUCUCUUGGUUCUCGCAUCGAUGAAGAACGCAGCGAAAUGCGAUAAGUAAUGUGAAUUGCAGAAUUCAGUGAAUCAUCGAAUCUUUGAACGCACCUUGCGCUCCUUGGUAUUCCGAGGAGCAUGCCUGUUUGAGUGUCAUGGAACUAUCAACUCUAUUGAUUUAGAGCUUGGAUGUGGAGGACAAUUGCUGGAUAUCAAUUCAGCUCCUCUUGAAUAUAUUAGCUCGAGCCUUCUUGUGAAUCAGCUUUGGUGUGAUAAUUGUCUACACCGCUCUGUGAAGCAUUAGUUCGGCUUCUAAUUGUCCCAGCUUGGACAACAUAUUAUGACCUUUGACCUCAAAUCAGGUAGGGUUACCCGCUGAACUUAAGCAUAUCAAUAAGCGGAGGA
Molecule: ribosomal RNA, 668 nt
Rfam family: 5.8S ribosomal RNA (bases 266-419)